UACGGAGGGGGCUAGCGUUGUUCGGAAUUACUGGGCGUAAAGCGCACGUAGGCGGCUUUGCAAGUCAGAGGUGAAAGCCCGGGGCUCAACCCCGGAAUUGCCUUUGAGACUGCAUCGCUAGAAUUGUGGAGAGGUAAGUGGAAUUCCGGGUGGAGUGGUGAAAUGCGUAGAGAUCCGGAGGAACACCAAAGGCGAAGGCAGUGUCCUGGGGAGUACCUGACGCUCAGGUGCGAAAGCCAGGGGAGCGAACGGG
This 253-nucleotide ribosomal RNA is filed under the name uncultured bacterium. RNAcentral describes it as "partial 16S ribosomal RNA". It matches the Rfam family "Bacterial small subunit ribosomal RNA", at positions 524 to 776 of the family's 1533-position model. The record is from RNAcentral.